GACGAACGCUGGCGGCGUGCUUAACACAUGCAAGUCGAACGAAGAGCGAUGGAAGCUUGCUUCUAUCAAUCUUAGUGGCGAACGGGUGAGUAACGCGUAAUCAACCUGCCCUUCAGAGGGGGACAACAGUUGGAAACGACUGCUAAUACCGCAUACGAUCUAAUCUCGGCAUCGAGGAUAGAUGAAAGGUGGCCUCUACAUGUAAGCUAUCACUGAAGGAGGGGAUUGCGUCUGAUUAGCUAGUUGGAGGGGUAACGGCCCACCAAGGCGAUGAUCAGUAGCCGGUCUGAGAGGAUGAACGGCCACAUUGGGACUGAGACACGGCCCAGACUCCUACGGGAGGCAGCAGUGGGGAAUCUUCCGCAAUGGACGAAAGUCUGACGGAGCAACGCCGCGUGAGUGAUGACGGCCUUCGGGUUGUAAAGCUCUGUUAAUCGGGACGAAAGGCCUUCUUGCGAAUAGUGAGAAGGAUUGACGGUACCGGAAUAGAAAGCCACGGCUAACUGCGUG
This 510-nucleotide ribosomal RNA is filed under the name uncultured bacterium. Its description in RNAcentral is "partial 16S ribosomal RNA". It matches the Rfam family "Bacterial small subunit ribosomal RNA", at positions 28 to 507 of the family's 1533-position model. The record is from RNAcentral.